Molecule: ribosomal RNA, 253 nt
Filed under: uncultured bacterium
Lineage: Bacteria
Description: partial 16S ribosomal RNA
Rfam family: Bacterial small subunit ribosomal RNA
Source: RNAcentral
UACGUAGGGUGCGAGCGUUAAUCGGAAUUACUGGGCGUAAAGCGUGCGCAGGCGGUUUUGUAAGCCAGAUGUGAAAGCCCCGGGCUUAACCUGGGAAUGGCAUUUGGGACUGCAAGGCUUGAGUGCGGCAGAGGAGACUGGAAUUCCUGGUGUAGCAGUGAAAUGCGUAGAUAUCAGGAGGAAUACCGAUGGCGAAGACAGGUCUCUGGGCUGACACUGACGCUCAUGCACGAAAGCGUGGGGAGCAAACAGG